GGAAGGAUCAUUAUUACGUAUCCACGUAUCAAACCAAAUCGUGAACUGUUUCCCAUCUAUUGAGGACUUUCUGCGAGUGUUCGUGUUAUCAUGGCACGGUGGAGACCUGGGCUAGCAAAUGGCUUUCGAGCUUUUGUUGGCACCUGUCGAAAAGAAGGCACUCGGUCCUGAAGGGUCAACUAAACAUUGAUCUCUCAGCUCAUUGGAUGUGGUUAUUUCUCUUCUUGCCACUGUGCUUAACACACAAUUAACCCCUUGUAAAUAAUUGAACUAACAUUACGGAGGUGUAGAAGAGCGCAAGCUUUUUGAAACUCUGGAAAAACCGAAACUUAAGAACAACUCUUAACAACGGAUAUCUUGGUUCUCGUAUCGAUGAAGAACGCAGCGAAAUGCGAUACGUAAUGCGAAUUGCAGAAUUCAGUGAAUCAUCAAAUCUUUGAACGCAAAUGGCGCUCUCGGGAUAGGCCUGAGAGCACGCCUCGUUGAGUAUCGAUUCCACCACAUCCAGUAAACAUGCUGGGAUAUUGAGUAAUCACUUUGGCCUCACAAGUCAAGUGUUACUUUAAGCAAAACGAGAUUGUAGGCCUUCUGAAUUGGCGCUUGGUUCGCCUAGGGCAUUUGAGGGUCUUCAAUGACCAGGCAAUUGUCUGAGCGACCGUGACGUGGAUAACCUCACAGUAAAAUGUGAACCCAUCCAAUACGUGGCGGUUCGAGCAAGCAAUUGUUCAAGUGUUUCCGAAACUUAGAAGGAAACUUAAUAGUCUCCUCACCCAACACAUCUUUGAAUUAGAUCUCAACUGAAGCGAGACUACCCGCUGAACUUAAGCAUAUCAUUAAGCGGAGGAAAAGAAACUAACAAGGAUGCCCGCAGUAACGGCGAGUGAAGUGGGCAAAGCUCAAGCCGAAAAUCGGGUCCCCAAGCGGGGAUUCGAAUUGUAGUCUAGAGACGUUUUCUCAGUGGCAACCCGGGUAUAAAUCUUUUGAAACAAGGUAUCAUGGAGGGUGAGAAUCCCGUCUUUGACUCGGAGUUUGCUGCGUACGAGGGGCGUUCGGAGAGUCGAGUUGCUUGGGAUUGCAGCUCUAAAUGGGUGGUAAAUUUCAUCUAAAGCUAAAUAUGGACGAGAGACCGAUAGCGAACAAGUACCGUGAGGGAAAGAUGAAAAGAACUUUGAAAAGAGAGUUAAAAAGUACUUGAAAUUGUUAAGAGGAAAGCACUGGAAACCAGUCGUGCCUUGUUUUAUAUUUACCAUCGACGGGCGAAGGGCGGUUGUCCGGGAGCGCAAGCCCCGGGUGGCUGUUGGACGCUUAGCCGGUGGGUCCUGUAGAGCGAGGUGGGUCAGAAUCAGUUCGAUUCGCGGGAGAAAGUUGUUGGGAAGGUAGGGUUGCGAGGGUAACCUCAAGGCCUGUUAUAGCCUGGCAAUGCUACCGUGGGUUGGACUGAGGAUGAGAAUACGCACCACUAGGUUGCGAUCCCUCUGCCCUGGUGUACAAUCUGUGUUGGACAACAAAGUUGUGCGCAUGGAGAAGUGUGCUACUGGUGGGGGUGGAUCAGCUGCAGUAUUCGAGAUUCUGACGAAAUGGUUUUCAUUGACCCGUCUUGAAACACGGACCAAGGAGUCUAACAUAUAUGCGAGUAUUUGGGUAGCAAACCCUGAUGCGUAAUGAAAGUGAAGGUCGCUCUGCGACUGAGGUAGGAACCGGCCAUUGCGAUGGUUGGGGCACUAUCGACCGAUCGUCACUUGUGAUAGAUUUGAGUAUGAGCAUAUCUGUUGGGACCCGAAAGAUGGUGAUCUAUGCCUGAACAGGGUGAAGCCAGGGGAAACUCUGGUGGAGGCUCGUAGCGAUACUGACGUGCAAAUCGUUCGUCUGAUUUGGGUAUAGGGGCGAAAGACUAAUCGAACCAUCUAGUAGCUGGUUCCCUC
Molecule: unclassified non-coding RNA, 1922 nt
Filed under: uncultured fungus
Lineage: Eukaryota; Fungi
Description: sequence contains 18S rRNA gene, ITS1, 5.8S rRNA gene, ITS2, 28S rRNA gene
Rfam family: Eukaryotic large subunit ribosomal RNA (bases 789-1922)
Source: RNAcentral